This is a long non-coding RNA of Gallus gallus (chicken), 2399 nucleotides long. RefSeq lists it as uncharacterized. Lineage: Eukaryota; Metazoa; Chordata; Aves; Galliformes; Phasianidae. The transcript is spliced from 2 exons. The record is from RefSeq and is a predicted model, not a curated record.
AAGCCACACUACUGACUUUCUGUGCUUCAUUAUAUCAUUUCCCUGCUUGGCCUGCUCCUUGAGGUAAUUUACUCUUUCUUAUUCUUUCAAAUCAGUAUUCCUAUAUCGCAUUGCUGUCAGGUUAGCGUAGAAAACACUUCCAUUUGGGUGCUACAAGGCUUUUCACUCAACAAUUAAAAUACACUCCAGGAAUAUUAAUUAAAUCCAAAAGCACCCAGAUGACAUCAGUAAGUAGCACACAGAGAUCAAUCUCACCCUGGACAUCUCUUUAAUUGAGCUUAGCAAUACUACAUAAUGACUUAAGAUAGAAAGUAAAGAAAUCAUGAGCUCACUUGAAGCCACAUGAGAUUUAUCUGCAAACCUCCUAUUUAUUAAAGGAACACCAGUUUUGACAGUUUAGAAGGAAUCCUAUGAGGCUAUUUCCCUAUCUGGUAGUGUGUCUAAGUGCAGCAGUAAACACCGUAUCUGUGGUUUGAUAGUCUCACAGAGCACUCAGAGGAAGACAAGCUGUGUUCCUGACCAGCCUGUGCAGUCCAAGGAGAGCAGCAGUUCCAGGCUGCUCGCUAAUUUUUUUGCAGAGAGGUUGGUAGAGAUCGUUUGGUGCUUUUGCAAUGAGAAGUAGAAGAAAACUAGAAAAAUUACAAGCAACUAGCUAACCAAGGAGCUGGUAGAUAGGCAUGCUGCUGAGUAUGUUUGCAUUUAACUAGCAUUGCUGUUUCCAUUAGAAAACAAAUGUGUUUAUCAGACAGGUCAAGGAUUGGUACAAUGAAGAUUGGAUUGACAUUUUUGUCAACAAUAAAUUAAAAUGUUCUGUUUUUUGCAGCUGCCAGCUUGUCAUACUUUACAGAGGAAGAUAAUAAAAGCCAUACUUUCUCAGAGUAAAUGUCCAUCUGGCUCAGCAUCCUGUCUCUGGGCGGUGGCCAAGACAGGAUGCCCAGGGGUGAGUGUACGAACAAGGAAAAUCAACAGUGAUUCUUCCUCAGAGUACAACUCCAGCCUUGGUUGCCAGUGACUGGAUAAUUUCCAGGCUAAGUGUCUCAGUGUGUUUUCUAAGACUGAGUCCUAUUUGAUAUUCUAGGGGAAGAAAUGGGCAUUUGGCUUUGCAGAUGCUGAUGAGCGUCUGUUAGUGAUGUUGUUUUGCUACCUCACCAAAAGCCUGUUUAACUCAAAGACAGCAGCAGUUCUCAUCUGUUCUCCACCUUGUCACUUCCCACAUGUGAUGAACGUCUUCCUGUUCAAGUACUGGCUACACUGGCAAAUUUCUCUAUGUCUUCUCUUGCCACCUCGUGCCUCUCCCCUUUCUUAUCCUCUCCUCAGGCACAGUUGGAUCAAUUCUUUGCUGCAUACGCUCCAGGCUGGCUGUAGUGAGUGAGGAGAGAGCACGAGGCCUGCUGUCCUCAUGGUAUCUUUAGCAAGAACAGGAACGGGUCCCACAGGAGCCUCUGCCAGGCCUGCUGAUCUCCCUAGGGCUGGAGAACCAGAGCUACCUGUGAAAAUUAUCCAGGGAAUUGCCUCCAUGUUUAUAGGUAGACCUCCCAGCACAGCUUUCCUGGAAAGCUCUUGACUACAUCAGGUCUAUGUAGGAAGCCUGAGCCAGCUUGAUCCAGUUGAUUAUAGUAAUUAUCCCCCAAGAUUAGAGGCAAUGGAAACCUGUAGUGCAGGUGAGAAAAUAUGAAGUAACCCAUCUGGAAGGCAUAUCCUUUUGUGUGCUUUGAAAUUAACCCCGUGUUACUGUUUCCAUGGAAACACAGAGGCAGCAUCACAACAGGUAGCUGUAGAGCCGGCAGGCUGGCGACGCUCUGAGUGCAGGCCGCUCAACUACCCCAAACUAGCAGGUGUGAUAUUGUGUGACUUACAAAUAGUGAAACUGAAAAGUUGGUUCAGCUUGCAGAUGGAGUGGAAGAGCACGUACCUGCAGUGGGAGAAUGCAGAAGGCAGAAAAAUUCUCAGCUGUGGUGUUAAUAGAUGAGCUGCAUCAGACAUCCAAGGAAGAGAUCACACGUCUAGAAAGCAGCAGAGGAGAGGCUGAGCCUGGGGUCCUGGUGACCUUCAGGCACCUGGAAAAGGCCGGGGCUGGGUUGUUACUCCCAGCUCACAAGUUAGGAAAACAGAGAAGUCCCUGGCGGAGCAGCUUCUGGAGUGUAACUCACCGGUGAACUGCAGCUCUUUCCUGCCUGCAAUCACAUCCCUAAAGUGACAUAUCUCCUGUUUCUCUUGGCUGGGCAGAGUCUGGCAGGUAGCUAGGCUAGGCUGGCUGCUCUUGCCAAAGAGCUGGCUGUGGAGCCACUGCGUUCUUUCUUUCAAGCACUUGAAUCUGGCUAUUGCCUUAUUAGCGAAUGUCCAUGAAUACAUAGCCUCUCAAUCUUAUAAAAAUUAAAACAAAAAGUUGCCACUGAGUA